RNAcentral lists this transfer-messenger RNA (360 nucleotides) under Anaerolineae. Its description in RNAcentral is "UBA7937 sp003453555 Standard tmRNA". It matches the Rfam family "transfer-messenger RNA". From Rfam's summary of the family: Bacterial tmRNA, also known as 10Sa RNA or SsrA, is named for its dual tRNA and mRNA-like properties. RNAcentral also lists the same sequence under 2 other names. The record is from RNAcentral. Lineage: Bacteria; Bacillati; Chloroflexota.
GGGGAUGACAGGUUUCGACAGGGAGGGCUGACCGCAGAUAGCAAGCCGAGGGGCCUCACCUCGUAAAUCAGGGGCAACUAGAGAUAAACGGCGAGCCACAACUCGCACUAGCCGCUUAGACGGCUACGUCCCACCCGAUCUUCCCCCGAUGAGUCGGGAGGGGAUGCCAUAUAAUCGGGGUGCGAUAGUCCCUAUGCCGAUAAGGACUGUCAAAGCCAGGGAAGACUUGGAUCGGCUGGCUCGCGGUGGACUCGGUCGGCAUGAGGCCGUCGCGAGCGAGAAAGAAAGAGCCGACUAAGCUUGUAGCAGAUCUUCGGCCGAACUCUCUGGACGCGGGUUCGAUUCCCGCCAUCUCCACCA